This 39-nucleotide ribosomal RNA is filed under the name Rhizoplaca chrysoleuca. RNAcentral describes it as "partial 26S ribosomal RNA". The record is from RNAcentral. Lineage: Eukaryota; Fungi; Ascomycota; Lecanoromycetes; Lecanorales; Lecanoraceae.
UUGACCUCGGAUCAGGUAGGGAUACCCCCUGAACUUAAC